AUGGAGUUGAUGAAUAAGAAGGUAAUGAUGAAGUUAGCUUUAAUGGUUUUCCUCUUGGGCUUCACCGCGAGUGUUGUUAACGCUCGUUUUGAUUCAACUUCCUUCAUCACUCAACUGCUCUCCAAUGGCGAUGAUGUGAAAUCAGCAUGUUGUGAUACCUGCCUCUGCACAAAAUCAGAGCCUCCUACGUGUCGCUGUGUUGAUGUUGGAGAAAGGUGUCACUCAGCAUGCAACCGUUGCGUUUGUAGAUAUUCUAAUCCUCCUCAGUGCCAGUGCUUUGAUACCCAUAAAUUCUGCUAUAAAUCAUGUCACAACUCUCAGAAGGAGGAGCUCAUUAAGAACUGA
This is a non-coding RNA of Vicia faba (fava bean), 345 nucleotides long. Lineage: Eukaryota; Viridiplantae; Streptophyta; Magnoliopsida; Fabales; Fabaceae. The record is from the annotation of a GenBank genome assembly.